Magnolia sinica is the source of this 2291-nucleotide long non-coding RNA. RefSeq lists it as uncharacterized. NCBI's taxonomy places the organism in Eukaryota, Viridiplantae, Streptophyta, Magnoliopsida, Magnoliales, Magnoliaceae. The record is from RefSeq and is a predicted model, not a curated record. The transcript is spliced from 2 exons.
GAAGGUUAAAAAAGGAAAUAAACCCUAGUGCCCAAAAAAUACCAUUCGCUUAGCCCCGUGGCAAAAGGGUCUCAAUGGAGUUAGACCUAUUGUUAAAUGUAUGAUCAUCGCAUCCUUACAAAUCUACAGCAACCUAGUCAACAAAAAGAGCCUCCAAAGGAUUUUCUUGUGUUUGCCAAGAGCCCUCAAUUCCAGGCUAAGAGAAAAAUCUCCAAUGUCUCUUGGCAUGACCCAACUUGUAUGAUGAUGAUUUGUUGUCAAAAUUGGGAUGGACAAUUCCAUGAAACCUUUUUCCUUUUUUUCCCCCCUCUUCUCAAACCCUCGAUCAAUUCUUCUGUUUCUCCCUCACUCCCAAAGUCCCGUUUAGCUGAGCUCUAGUAGGGUGGGCCAUUUCAGCCAUGGGUUCCCUACACCAUUAAAGGAGUGAAGAAGGAAGAAGUGCUUUUGUUUUUGAAUGUUUGAGAGUGCACCAUAUUACAGUGUGAUUCACCCUCCUUUUUCUUGACCUUUCUACGUUUUGAGGGAGCAACUAAUCUUUUCAUUUCCCUAAUAAAGCCUGUUGCAAUGUGGCUGCAACUCAAGUGGGCCAUGGAUAACCUUUUGGAAGUCCCCCGUUUUGGUCAUCCUCAUGUGAGACCCGCUUAUGGUCCAUUUUGGUACAAACGGGUUCAUUUGAGAAGUGGGAUCACUUUAUUCUAGUUCAGUCCAUCCAAUUUGUUAGUGAACAUGUAAUAAAUCCCGUGAUGCAGGACGGUCUAAAUUAGAAUGCAUGUGUGAGCACAGAAAUUAUCCAGCGAAAUAAACUAAGCAAAUCAAUUGAAAUAUUCAACAUUCCACAUCAUAGUAAAGAUAAUAACAAAGGAAACAUGCAAUGGUUGCAGACCAUCAUCACAAUCCUGCAGUAUUGUAUUCAAAUCAUGCGUGAAUUGGAUCCGACGAGAGAUGGGACCUCCCGAUCUUGCAUGGUUUCUAUCCAACAAUCAAUGCACCUUCUCUAGUCUAGGAAAUCAAAGGAAUUCUGGAAUAGGGAAGGCUGAAAAAUCUGAGAGAGGGUUAGGAUCAAUUCUCAGAUUUUCAGGGUUAAUAGCAAUCAAAGAAUACUAGGCAGAGAAAGAGAAGAAGAAGGUUGGAGGGCUAGAAAUAGAAUUUAGAAGAAGAGAAGAGAUUAGGGGAAGAGAAGCAAUUACCACAGAGAGAAAUGGGUAGGAGGCAUCAAGUUUUCAUUUUUUUUUUUUUUAAAAAAAAUUAUUAGGUUUAGGGUAGAAAACACUCUAUUUAUAAAAUUCAGAUUUAAGAGAAAAUGACUAAACUACCCCUAUAACAAAAGAAAAAAACGCACAAAACAAAGCUUUCUAAAAAAAUAAUCUUGCAUAACAGAUUAGUCUUCUAACUCAUCCUACACGUGUGUCCUCCUAAUGUGGGGCCUUCAAUUAGACAAGGGGCACGUGUAAGGUCUUCAAAAUCCUCCUCGGUUGUGCCACGAGCCAUUAUUGAGCGAUAAAGAUAUUCGUCGGCCACCUUCGUCUUUGAUAAACUUUGAAGGGUCUGAUGUCCUCAUCACCUUGGACCCACCAUGAGUAAUCUAACCCUUUUGGGUAUUAUCCAUUUAUCUAGUGUGGUACCUAUGUACCAUGUGGGGCCUCCAGCCUUAUGUAUCUGUGAAUGAAUACAUUAUGAUAUUAUGUGUAUAUGAUAAUGGGGCAUGUUGGAGUUUGAGGUGGACAUCAUCCAUCACAGGGUAGCCUGAUGACCUCCAUCAUUGACUGUACUGCUAUGGCAGAGCCAGCUAUGGCAACUGUGGAUUUCUGCCACCAUUAAAAGAGUUAAGAGGAAGGAAGAAUAAAAGGGCCUGUAUGGAUCUCUGACAUGCGCAUAUGUGUGGUAGAUUUGGAUGAAUCGCCCUUACAUCACAAUUUCCUUUGAAUUUGAGGGCUGUUUCCUAAAAGCCAUAAAGAAAUUCCUUCGAAUUUGUAGUAGAUUUGGAUUUUAUUUUUUAUUUUAUUUUGUUAACAUCCAAUCUAGAAGAUUCUUUUUACUGGAAUUCAACUUCUACAAAAACUUAUACAUGGAGGAAUUUAUUUUCUAUGCACCCUUGGGGAAAUUGAUGCCAUGAAUUGAACUGGCGGUGAACCAAGCUUUGAUAAGAUAGAUUCUUUAGGUUCCCCAAUAUUCAUGAAUUGCAAACCAAACCCCACAAACACAUCAUCAAACAACAAACCUGCCAACUAUGUUUGUUAGUAGGGGACAGUAUUUAGCUAGCUUUACAGUAGAGCCCUUCAGUUAGACCUUUA